RNAcentral lists this ribosomal RNA (253 nucleotides) under uncultured bacterium. Its description in RNAcentral is "partial 16S ribosomal RNA". It matches the Rfam family "Bacterial small subunit ribosomal RNA", at positions 524 to 776 of the family's 1533-position model. The record is from RNAcentral.
UACGGAGGAUGCAAGCGUUAUCCGGAUUCAUUGGGUUUAAAGGGUGCGUAGGCGGCUUUUUAAGUCAGUGGUGAAAUCCUGCCGCUUAACGGUAGAAUUGCCAUUGAUACUGAAGAGCUUGAGUCCAGUUGAGGUAAGCGGAAUGUGUAGUGUAGCGGUGAAAUGCUUAGAUAUUACACAGAACACCAAUUGCGAAGGCAGCUUACUAAACUGGCACUGACGCUGAUGCACGAAAGCGUGGGGAGCGAACAGG